Tupaia belangeri (northern tree shrew) is the source of this 85-nucleotide small nuclear RNA. Its record names the gene U4. It matches the Rfam family "U4 spliceosomal RNA". Rfam says of the family: U4 small nuclear RNA (U4 snRNA) is a component of the major U2-dependent spliceosome. The structure of U4 snRNA from yeast and human has been reported. Lineage: Eukaryota; Metazoa; Chordata; Mammalia; Scandentia; Tupaiidae. The record is from Ensembl.
AGCUUUGCGCAGUGGCAGUAUCGUAGCUAAUGAGGUUUAUCCGAGGCGCGGUUAUUGCUCAUUGAAAGAAUGAAUGAAUAAUCAA